GACGAACGCUGGCGGCGUGCCUAAUACAUGCAAGUAGAACGCUGAAGAGAGGAGCUUGCUCUUCUUGGAUGAGUUGCGAACGGGUGAGUAACGCGUAGGUAACCUGCCUUGUAGCGGGGGAUAACUAUUGGAAACGAUAGCUAAUACCGCAUAACAAUGGAUGACGCAUGUCAUUUAUUUGAAAGGGGCAAUUGCUCCACUACAAGAUGGACCUGCGUUGUAUUAGCUAGUAGGUGAGGUAAUGGCUCACCUAGGCGACGAUACAUAGCCGACCUGAGAGGGUGAUCGGCCACACUGGGACUGAGACACGGCCCAGACUCCUACGGGAGGCAGCAGUAGGGAAUCUUCGGCAAUGGGGGCAACCCUGACCGAGCAACGCCGCGUGAGUGAAGAAGGUUUUCGGAUCGUAAAGCUCUGUUGUAAGUCAAGAACGGGUGUGAGAGUGGAAAGUUCACACUGUGACGGUAGCUUACCAGAAAGGGACGGCUAACUACGUGCCAGCAGCCGCGGUAAUACGUAGGUCCCGAGCGUUGUCCGGAUUUAUUGGGCGUAAAGCGAGCGCAGGCGGUUUGAUAAGUCUGAAGUUAAAGGCUGUGGCUCAACCAUAGUUCGCUUUGGAAACUGUCAAACUUGAGUGCAGAAGGGGAGAGUGGAAUUC
This 658-nucleotide ribosomal RNA is filed under the name uncultured Streptococcus sp. Its description in RNAcentral is "bacterial SSU rRNA". It matches the Rfam family "Bacterial small subunit ribosomal RNA", at positions 28 to 669 of the family's 1533-position model. The record is from RNAcentral. Lineage: Bacteria; Bacillati; Bacillota; Bacilli; Lactobacillales; Streptococcaceae.